Molecule: long non-coding RNA, 5220 nt
Filed under: Bos grunniens (domestic yak)
Lineage: Eukaryota; Metazoa; Chordata; Mammalia; Artiodactyla; Bovidae
Description: lncRNA (ENSBGRG00000024141.1)
Source: RNAcentral
UAAAUCCUGCUGAGGUAUAUACAACUCUACAAGCUGGUUCUCAAAUCCUUUUUUUGGAACGAGACUGAAGGAUUUCUGCAUAAAUAAUCAUAGUGGAAUUUUCAAGAUAUUUCAACGGUCUGUGGUGGCCAAAUAUGUGGAAUUGAGGCUGUUCCAGUAAAUCUGGAAUGAAUUGACACUCUAUCCACAGAGUAUGAAACUGUGUGUAGAGUAUGCAUGUGCGCGCGCGUGCACACACACACACAUACACACACACACACACACACAGGAAGAAUUCUUUUCUUGUCCAGACACUGGCAUUGGCAGUGAAACCAUCCAUUCCAAACCAAAGGAGCCCCCUCACCAAUGGCCUUGCCGCCCAGGAACCCUGCAGGGCAGAAGUUGGGGAGGGGAUAGCAGUCUGAAUAGCGGUCUUGGAUGGCUGGAAGCUGGCACCUGUGAACAAGCACCCAUGAUGGUGAUGCAUCCGGAACCAGGCUGCCCAGCCAACCAGUGCUUUCCCACCGGAGCUUUUGCUCUGGGCUCCUCUGCCGUUGAUUUCCCAGGUCCCGCCUUGCAUUUUCUCCCUCAUCUUCACAUGUGGGGAGCCCCUGACCGGCUGCUGAAGACCCCCAGACAAGCCUUCAGCUUCCAGAUCAUGGAAGGCAGCAUGGGGAGGCAGGAGACCCCUGGGAGGGCGGAGCAUGACUUUUGUCCAGGAGGCUGGACUACCGACUUCAGCAGGCUCUGGUUGGCUCUGGAGGACAUCCCUCAAGAAGUGCUGGCAGAUGUUAGAUUCCCGCCACCUGGAGGCCUGACCUCACCUGAGGGCAUCCCUGCCUGUCCAUGUCUUUUGACUGGGUGGGCAGCCCUGCCUACCUCUCUGCAGCUUCAAACACCAGCCGCUUCCACUCAGAGACACUCAAAAUGUGUCGAGGGAGGUUGUCCUCUGGACUCCUGGGAAUUGACCACCAGCAUGCGCUGCUCCGCUGACAAGGGAAAGGGCCCUCUGGCCCGCACAGCAUGGAUAUGGGCAGAACGGUUUUUCCUAACUAGGCCUUCUGGGUUGCAGCAGAACAGCAUGUGUCUGCUUCUCAAAUGUAACAGGACAAGAUGUUCAGGUCUUGUGUCCUCUGUGAAGCAGGGCUGCAAGGACCCCUUACCAAGGAGAAGAUUGUCUCUGGAAACUGCGAAAUCUGACCAGAAGGCCCUUAGCCUCCCAGGCUCUGUAGCUUCUGCAGUGAUGAGGCCUGGCCACCAGAUGGCUCCACAGAGGCCACUGCUCUCUCAGGGAAGAGGAGAGGAAAGUCCGGAGAGCAACAGUGGACUCGCCCAAGGUCUUACCACCCCAUCUGACCACACUGGAAGCCACGCCCACUAACCCUGGGUCAGGGGACAGCUUGCAUUAACUCUUUUCUCCCCUCUGCCCAGAGACCCAGUGGAGAGACCCAGAGUUGGGAAGGGCUGGUACAACGGGGGCAGGAAUGGGCACAGAGUGGGCCACCAUGAGCUGAAGGCCGGGCUGCAAAGGAGCUCAGUUUAGAACCCAAAGAACCUCCCUUCUCCUGAGGGACAGCCAGUGCCCCUGCCCCACCAAGGUCUUCCAUGUCCCUGGGGGCUCACCUGCCCAGACCCUGGGGCAGGGGGGGAUUUCUUUUUGAGGUUUGAACAUUCUACAGGGAACUUGCUGGAUUUCUAUUCCUACAGUGUAUCUAAGCUUUUAUUUAUGAAACAAGGUUUCUGUUCUUGGUUAAUUAGUGGGCUCCUAUAAACCCUCUCCCCCAGCUCAGGAUGUGGAGGGCAGGGGGAAAAACCAAUAAAAAUAUAAAAAUAUGGAACUCCAGAUGCACUGGACAGGGCCAGCCUUCCUGCCUGGAGAGAGGGAGGGACGUAUUACCCCAAAUUAGUAACUGCCAGAAUCCCAGGCUGAUAACAAGCAUAUUUUGGGAAGAACAUGCUACUAACUUGACCUCAUUCACACACAACUGUAACAGACCGAUGGAGUGGCUUUUUCUUCAGCAAGUUUGAAUGUGGGAGGAGAGAGGGGUCCUGAGAGCCUGGGAGUGGGGUGAGGAGGCACCAGCAGGAGUUGGGGGUAGGCAACAAAGAAUGGAAGCUGAGGGCUCCAGGGACUGACAGUACUGCCCAUGCGCCAAAAGGAAAUGGACCACUGACUUUCAGGAGAGGCCUACCUGGGUUGGGAGAGGGGCAGAUACUCAAUUUCCAUGAGUCAGUGUUUUCUCCUAGGGGAGAAAAGCAGGGUACUGUAACCUCCAGUUUCCCCCGGAGGAAGGGUUCCUGCAGGCCCAGCCUCAUGCCUGGCUCUCUGCAGAGCCCCUCAACUGCCCCCCGGGGGGGAGCAGGACUGUCAGCUGUCAGUAGACUGAGGCCCAGAGAAAGAGAAGGACUUGCCCAAGAGCUGAGUUAGUACAAAAUGCCUAGAAGAACCAAGGUCUCCUGGUCAGUUGCCUUUUACUCACGUUCUGCCUGAAUAUGAAGUUAGGCCAAAUCAGUAUUCCUGGCUCUGUGAUCCUGGACCUUGCCAAGAUCAGUUUUCCUCAUCUGUAAAAUGGGAGACUAUCUCUUACCCACUGGAGUUGAUGAUAGGAUUUGGUACUAUACGAAAUGCCCUGGCAUAUAGUCGGCAUGCAAUCAAUGGUGGCUAUAAUAGAGAGGAGUCCAAUCUUACUUCAGGGCAUGGUUCUUGAGGUCAUUUAAUGCAAAGACUGGAAGAUGGUGAAGGACAAGGGAAGCCUGGCGUGCUGGUCGCCAAGAGUCAGACACGACUAAGCCACUGAACAACAAUGCAAAGAAAGAAACCAAACAAAAAAUAGACCAAACCCUUGAAAAUCCUUUAGGAAGUCACCGAGAAGAGGUAAAUACUUAUUCGGGGUAAGUGGGGAAGAAAGUGGAAGGCUUUAGGAUUGCCAAGGAGCCAAAGGGUGAGACGUAUGACAGGCAAACUGUAUCCAGUGGACGGGUCCUACGCAGGCCUAGCAGGUACAGGAGGGUCAGCGCCAGAAUGGGCAGGGCCUUGAAUGCCAGGCGGAGAAGUCCGGACCGGCUGGCUGCUGUCAGGAGAUGUUUAAUUUUGGCAGUGGGGUGAUUAAAGGGAGGUUCCCUGUGUGCGUGAAUUUCCACCCACCUCCAGGGUUGUUUCUCUGCUGGAGAGCCGGGGCCAAUUUAUGGCUCCUGGCUGCCCCUAUGCAGCCUCUCCCAGCCCUCCUCCUCCCUGGCUGUCUGGCAGCCAACUGAGUUUUAUGUGGGGAAUCUGAGGAAUUUGAAAAGGCAAAAUGCAAAUGCCACUGUUGGAGAUUUCCUUGUCAGCCUCCAGAGGGGAAAGGCCCCUCUUUGUGGGUUAAGGAAGAGUGGCUCUCUCGGGCCCCAAAGAGCAUCCCCAUCUGUGGGGAUGCUCAGGGCCAGUUCCUUGACCCCCAUCUGUGAGAAGCAGGCAGUGUCACCAUAAACAAGCACUCUCCUCUGGAGCUCUUGGAGAGCCAAGCUGGGUAACAGAGAGAAGUCCUUGGACACUGUAAAGAGCCUGCCGCACGCCCUGUGUUGAGACAGUAAUGACGAUUCCUGAGUGCCCUCCUUUCACAGAGGAGGGAGUCGACAGAGGAGGGAAUGGGGAGACUUUUUGUCUGGGGGUCACCGGGGCCGACCUGGACGGGGGCCAGGGCCCCAGCGCUGAUGGGACCGGGUGGCGGCCUGGUGCAAUGAGCGCGCUGAGGUCGCGGGGCGGUCCCGGGCCUCGCACGUCCCGAGACCCUCAGGGCCUCGCCACCGCCCCCGGACCUGCCCCGGCUGGUGUGUGUGUUGGGGGGUUGGGGGGAGCGCUGUGGGGCGGCCGGGAGCUGGGAACUGGGAGCCGGGAGCCGCGCCCGAACUCGGGCGCCUCUAUCUCCCGCGGCCACGGCGUCUCCGAGUCUCGGCGGCCCGAGCGCCGGGCGUUAUCUGCUCUUGCCCGGCCGGGCCCCUUCCCGCCUUCCCGCCAGGCCGGGGCCGCCGUGGCGACUGGCUGCUCCCGCCUUAUCAUCGGCUGCCCCCGCCAGCGAGCUGGGGCCCAAGUCUGACCCCCGCCCCUGCCGCUCCGCGGACCGCCCCCUCCCGUCCCGGACAGCCACCCACCCACCCAGAUGCCCCCUCCCAGGGUGGCCCCCUACCCGAUGUCCCUCUCAGAGCGGCCCCUUCUGGGGCCAAGCUGCGGGAGCGCUUUCCCCAAGGGGCACGGCAUCAGAAAAGGGUGUUUGUCAGAUUUGUCCUUUUCUUAAAAGGCAAGCCUAACUAUGGUUAAUCCCAUUUUAGUCACGUUUUAAAGGAUUUCAUAAGAGAGGCAAAGUUAUGCAAAACAAAACAAAAGCAGUCAAUCCCUAAACCCACUAUACAUCAGGGCUGGGCAGGGGCGGGGUGGGAUAGAGUGCUUAUUCAUCAGGUCGCCCUAAACCGCUUCUGCUCAGGGCUUACUGUGUUAAGUGUGACACCCCUUGGAAGGGAAGCUUCCCCACCUAAGUACUGGAAUCUGUAGGCCAUAAAGCUUCCCGUAGAGCUGGUGGCAGAAAACAAGGGUGCAGCCCUUUGUAAUAGCAAUUUGGCAGUAUAGACAGAAAGCCAUAAAAGUAUUCAUACACUUUGACUCAGUAAUCUCACUCUGGGAAUGUAUCCCAAGGAAAUAGUUCAACAGCAGUGAAAGAAAAAGACAAAAGCAGAAAACGGUGGGUCCAUCCAUCUGUAAAGCUAGUGAACGUAUCUUUCUGAGCGAAAAGUUGGAAUACACAAAUUGCAUGGAACUGGGUUCGUAGUCACCAUGGUGCCACCGUGAACCCAUCAACAAACCUCAAAUAAGUGUCUUAACCUCACUGAAGUUCCCUUUUUGUUUCUGGGAGGUGGAUAACCUCACCACUCAGAGGACUUUCAUAGGAAUUCCAGGAGACAGCCUGUGAAAGCAUCUAGUACAGGGUUUGAGGGCAGAGGAAGAACGUAAGAAGUGUUUAUUUCCCUCCUUUCUUCAUCCUUACAGAAAUGAAAAUAUGGAGUAUUUCAGGUCACAUUUGUAAAUACUAGAGAAAGUGCACACGGUACGUUAAGAGCUUGGGAUUUUUAAGUCCUUCAAACUUGGAUUGGGCUAGAAUCCUAGCACCACUUACUUCCUAGCUGUGUAAUCUUGACAAGAUAUAUUUCCUCAUUUAUUAAAAAAUGAUUAUAGAAUUUACCCUGUAACUGUUGUGAGGGUUAAAUGAGGUA